RNAcentral lists this unclassified non-coding RNA (382 nucleotides) under uncultured fungus. RNAcentral's name for it is "partial contains small subunit ribosomal RNA, internal transcribed spacer 1, and 5.8S ribosomal RNA". The stretch from base 1 to 73 matches the Rfam family "Eukaryotic small subunit ribosomal RNA", at positions 1759 to 1831 of the family's 1831-position model. The record is from RNAcentral. Lineage: Eukaryota; Fungi.
ACAAACUUGGUCAUUUAGAGGAAGUAAAAGUCGUAACAAGGUUUCCGUAGGUGAACCUGCGGAAGGAUCAUUAUUGAAUAAAUAUAGUGGGUUGUAGCUGGCCUCUAGGGGCAUGUGCACGCCUGCUGUCUUUAUCCAUCCACCUGUGCACCUUUGUAGUCUUGGGGAAUGAAAGCAGACUGCUAUAUUGACAAUAUUGGUCAGAUGUGAGGGGUGCCCAAGGGCUCCUCCUCAAUGGUCUGUAAUCAUAUCACAAGUCUAUGUCUUUUCCAUAUACCCUAUUGUAUGUUGUAGAAUGCAGUUAAAGGGCUUUAUUGCCCAUAAACCUUAUACAACUUUCAGCAACGGAUCUCUUGGCUCUCGCAUCGAUGAAGAACGCAGC